This 397-nucleotide ribosomal RNA is filed under the name uncultured bacterium. RNAcentral's name for it is "partial 16S ribosomal RNA". It matches the Rfam family "Bacterial small subunit ribosomal RNA", at positions 523 to 918 of the family's 1533-position model. The record is from RNAcentral.
AUACGUAGGUGGCGAGCGUUAUCCGGAAUGAUUGGGCGUAAAGGGCGCGUAGGCGGCCCGGUAAGUCUGGAGUGAAAGUCCUGUUUUUAAGAUGGGAAUUGCUUUGGAUACUGUCGGGCUUGAGUGCAGGAGCGGUAAGUGGAAUUCCCAGUGUAGCGGUGAAAUGCGUAGAGAUUGGGAGGAACACCAGUGGCGAAGGCGACUUACUGGACUGUAACUGACGCUGAGGCGCGAAAGUGUGGGGAGCAAACAGGAUUAGAUACCCUGGUAGUCCACACUGUAAACGAUGAAUGCUAGGUGUAGGGGGUAUCGACCCCUUCUGUGCCGCAGUCAACACAAUAAGUAUCCCACCUGGGGAGUACGGCCGCAAGGUUGAAACUCAAAGGAAUUGACGGGG